Molecule: ribosomal RNA, 253 nt
Filed under: uncultured bacterium
Lineage: Bacteria
Description: partial 16S ribosomal RNA
Rfam family: Bacterial small subunit ribosomal RNA
Source: RNAcentral
UACGAAGGGGGCUAGCGUUGUUCGGAAUGACUGGGCGUAAAGGGUGUGUAGGCGGUUAUAAACGUCAGAUGUGAAAUCCCCGGGCUUAACCUGGGAAUGGCAUUUGAUACGGUAUAGCUAGAGAUUGGUAGAGGGUAGAGGAAUUGCGAGUGUAGAGGUGAAAUUCGUAGAGAUUCGCAGGAACACCGGUGGCGAAGGCGGCUACCUGGGCCAAUACUGACGCUGAGGCACGAGAGCGUGGGGAGCAAACAGG